CCUACGGGCGGCAGCAGUGGGGAAUCUUCCGCAAUGGGCGAAAGCCUGACGGAGCAACGCCGCGUGAGUGAUGACGGCCUUCGGGUUGUAAAACUCUGUGAUCCGGGACGAAAAGGCAGAGUGCGAAGAACAAACUGCAUUGACGGUACCGGAAAAGCAAGCCACGGCUAACUACGUGCCAGCAGCCGCGGUAAUACGUAGGUGGCAAGCGUUGUCCGGAAGUAUUGGGCGUAAAGCGCGCGCAGGCGGCUUCCCAAGUCCCUCUUAAAAGUGCGGGGCUUAACCCCGUGAUGGGAAGGAAACUGGGAAGCUGGAGUAUCGGAGAGGAAAGUGGAAUUCCUAGUGUAGCGGUGAAAUGCGUAGAGAUUAGGAAGAACACCGGUGGCGAAGGCGACUUUCUGGACGAAAACUGACGCUGAGGCGCGAAAGCGUGGGGAGCAAACAGGAUUAGAGACCCCGGUAGUC
This 465-nucleotide ribosomal RNA is filed under the name uncultured Dialister sp. RNAcentral's name for it is "bacterial SSU rRNA". It matches the Rfam family "Bacterial small subunit ribosomal RNA", at positions 338 to 795 of the family's 1533-position model. The record is from RNAcentral. Lineage: Bacteria; Bacillati; Bacillota; Negativicutes; Veillonellales; Veillonellaceae.